GCGGAGCCACCUCCCAGAAGCGUGUGGGCAGCGAGGCUCGGCCCUCGGCCUCGGAUCAGGCCAGUUCCCGAACGCGCGCAUGCAGAAUCAUUCGUUAUGGCAUGCGAACUCUUAGCUGGAUCUCGUUCCAGGGAUCGAACCCCAGGCCCCCAGCACUGGCAGCAUGGAAUCUGAGCCACUGGACCAGCAGGGAGCCUCCUGCCGGAGCGCCAAGAUGAGCCCAGUGGGAGCCUACCCCAUCUCUCAGCCCCAGCCUGCCAGGAACAGCCCAGCCAGAGCCCAGAGGCGAAGGGAGAGAGCCAGCCUCACCCAGAUCUCCAGGCCCACCCAGCAGGCCGUACCUCUCACUGCUGGAGAGAUCCAGAUGCUGGUGUAAGGGCCUCGGCUCCCUCCCAAGAUGGAAAUCCCGCCUUCUUCCCUGUUUCCGUGCCAACACUGGUAAAAGACUCAAGGCAGCGAACAAGACCUGUGAGGAGCCUGACAGUCACAAGGGACACUCAUCCUGCUCCACGGCAUCCCUGAGGUCCCACAGGAUUCCGUGAAUAAUGAGUAACUCAGCCCCACCCUCCAAAAGCCCAGAGUCUGGGACAGCACGAGGUGUCAGACAGGUGAUCAGCCAGUUACAACAGUGCAGCUCCAAGACUGCGGGGGAGGGCAAGGCAGAUUCC
This is a long non-coding RNA of Dama dama (fallow deer), 668 nucleotides long. RefSeq lists it as uncharacterized. The transcript is spliced from 5 exons. Lineage: Eukaryota; Metazoa; Chordata; Mammalia; Artiodactyla; Cervidae. The record is from RefSeq and is a predicted model, not a curated record.